RNAcentral lists this non-coding RNA (747 nucleotides) under Coccinella transversoguttata. Lineage: Eukaryota; Metazoa; Arthropoda; Insecta; Coleoptera; Coccinellidae. The record is from RNAcentral.
UAAAUACUUAAUUAUGGUAUUGAAUAUGUAUACAUAUUUAUAAUUUAUAUGAAUUUUGGUUUAAAUUUAAUUUUAGUAGUAUAUAGUAUUAAUUAUUAAAGAAUUUUAGAAUUAGUAAAAUAAUUUAAUAUAUGCAAAUUUUGUGCCAGCAGCAGCGGUUAUACAAAAUAUAUAAUAUAUAUUUAUUAGUUUUAAUUAAUUAGAAUAAUUAUUAAAAAAAAAAUUAAAUUUUAAGGUGAAAUUUUAAUUUAAAAUUAUUUUUAAUUAAAUUUUAUGAAGUUAAGAAAUUUUUAUUUAAACUAGGAUUAGAUACCCUAUUAUUUUAAAUGUAAAAAUAAAAAACUAAGUGAUUAAUAGUUAAGUUCUUUAAAGCUAAAUAAUUUGGCGGUAUUUUAAACUUUUCAGAGGAACCUGUUCUGUAAUUGAUAAUCCACGAUUGAAUUAACUUUAAUUAGAAAUUUUUAUAUCGUCGUUUUUAAAUAUUUUUAAAGAAUCAAAUAUUUAUAAUUUUUAAUAGAAAAUAAAUCAGAUCAAGGUGAAGUUAAUAUUAAAGAAGAAAUGGGUUACAAUAAAUUAUAUUUAUGAAUUUUUAAUUGAAAAUUAAAAUGAAAUUGGAUUUGAAAGUAAUUAGAAAAACUUUUUUUUGAUGAUUUAGCACUAAAAUAUGUACAUAUUGCCCGUCGCUUUCACUUAAUAUGGAAUAAGUCGUAACAUAGUAGAUUUACUGGAAAGUGGUUCUAGAAUGAU